Sceloporus undulatus (fence lizard) is the source of this 329-nucleotide long non-coding RNA. RefSeq lists it as uncharacterized. The record is from RefSeq and is a predicted model, not a curated record. The transcript has 3 exons. NCBI's taxonomy places the organism in Eukaryota, Metazoa, Chordata, Lepidosauria, Squamata, Phrynosomatidae.
UUAAAGCAUUGCAAAAACCGAAGAAUCACACAGACCAAAGGAUACCUGUAUUCUGAUCUCCGCUUUACUACAAAAGAUACAGGUGUCCUUUUGAGCUGUAAUUUCCUCCAAAUUUCAAGAAGAUGCUGACACUGCUUUGGGAAUCCCCCAACACUCCUCCCACCAUUUAGGCUACAGAUGAGGAAGUGAUGGAAAAAGCUUCAUCUGCUGAUUUCUCUCCACAACACAGACUGUUGAAAGAGACUGAGCGAAGCAGAGGGAGCCAGAGGAGAAUCUUCUGGCAUAAUGCCUCUAUGCUUUUAAAAGAAUAGGAUCUGAUUCUGUAUUAG